AUUUUUUAUUGAAAUAUGAAAAGAACAAAAAGGCUAAAUUUAUGGGGGAGAAAGUGUUACAGCAAAAUAUGGAUGGAAUUUGUGUCACUUCAUCCCCUAUUUAUAGUACUAAGAAACCUAGCCUAUUCUUAAUUAAAUUCUAAAAGAUAAAUACAAAUAAAUAAAGAUAAUUAAAGUUAAUUAAAGGUAAAUGAAAAUAAAUCCUAAAAUUAAAUCAAAAUAAUAAUCCUUAAUAAUUAUCCUAAUAUAAUUAAACAUUAAAUAGAGUCUCGUGCUGUAAAAUCUCUUAUUUUGCACUUUUGCCCUUUAUGUCUUUCAUACUUGCAUUUUUGGCACCACCUUUUUCCCUAUGUCGCAUGUUGGCCCAUUGUAUCUUCAAAUUUGCACUUUUUGCCCUUAAAAUUUCUUUUGCCUCCAAUUUAGUCCGUGAAAGAUAAAAGACCAUAAAUAUCUCAAAUUAGUAAGGUCAUACACAAAAUAAACAUGCAAUUAGCACAAAAAAUAUGUCGUUCUAGAGUAUUAUCAGAUGGCUACUUAUACAGAAGAGGAAAUUGUUGAAACGUUGAAAGGAAUGGGGCCUACAAAAGCUUUAGGUCCAGAUAGUUUUCCGACAGUAUUUUACCAAUAGUAUUGACAUAUUAUUGGUAAAAAUACUAGAGUUUUCUAUUUGGAUAUUUUGAAUAAUGGCAAAUCUUUAAAAGAAAUAAACAGAACUCAGUUGGUUUUAAUUCCAAAAAUUGAAAAUCCUCUCAAUUUGAAAAAUUUUCGUCCUAUUAGCCUCUGUACGGUUAUCUAUAAGAUUAUUUCCAAGUCAGUUUCUAACCGUUUACAAAAGGUACUAGAUAUCUAUAUUAAUGACUUUCAAAGUGCUUUUGUGCUGGUAGGCUUAUAACUGACAAUGUGUUGUUGGCGUAUGAGGUACUUCACUCUUUCAAGAACAAAAGAUCAGGGAAAAAAUUAUUUAUGGCUCUAAAGCUGGGUAUGAGCAAGGCUUAAGAUCAAGUGGACUAGCAUUUUCUUAAAAGUAUGAUGUCAAAAUUGGGCUUUGUCGAUCCAUUUAUUUAUUUUAUAUUUCACUGUAUUAUUCGGUCCAUUAUUCAAUUUUACUUAAUUGUGAAGAAGGUUUUAGUUUCAAUCCAUUAAGAGGGCUACGUCAAGGGGAUCCUUUAAGCCCUUACUUAUUUCUGUUCUGUGGAGAAGGGGAUCCUUUAAGCCCUUACUUAUUUCUGUUCUGUGGAGAGGGUUUAUCUGCACUGAUGAGACUUGCAAGCCAGGAAAGGAAAAUUUUAGGAGCAAAGGUAUGUAAAUCUUCCCCACCAAUAACCCACUUCAUGUUUGUAGAUGAUUGUAUACUGUUUGUAAAGGUUUCAGAUAGGGAGAUUAAUGUGAUUAGAGAUAUUCUAAGAGAAUAUGAAUUUUGCUCGGGCCAAUGUGUAAACUUUGAAAAAUCCACGAUUUUUUUUUUCAAUUUGAAUGUGGAUGAUUAGGAUAAGAACUUGGCUUUCCAAGUACUUAAUGUUCGCUGUUUGAUUGAUCUAGAGAAAUAUUUGGGGUUACCGAAUAAGGUGGGUCAAAGAAGGAAAAUGGCUUUCCAAGCCUUGAAGGACAGAUUGAAGCAGAAGAUUAAUAGCUGGAAUAUAAGAUAUAUCUCAUAAUGUGGCAAAGAGGUAUUUAUUAAAGCCGUUUUACAAGCAAUUCCUACAUACACGAUGUCUUAUUUUCUUUUGCCAAAAACUUUUUGUGUGGAGACAGAAUAUAAUAGGGCCCUUUUGGUGGAAAAAAAUCAAGGGAAGAGAGGAAUGCAUUGGUGUGACUAGAAGUCGUUAUGUGCGCUUAAGAAAGAGAGUGGUAUGGGGUUUCGUAAUUUGAAUUUUUUUAAUAUUGCAUUACUGGCCAAAAAGGGUUGGCAUUUGUUACAUAAUCCUAAUUCAUUACUAGCGCGUACUUUGAAGGCCAAGUAUUUUAAGGAUUUAGAUUUUUUAAACUCCAGGUUAGAAAAUUUACCUUCUCUUACCUGGCAGAGUUUAUGGACUGCAAAAGGGCUCCUUCUGAAAGGUUUGGGUUAGAGAAUUGGCAAUGGGAAGAAUGUCUCUAUCUGGGGGGAUGCAUGGGUUCCUAGAGGUUAUGAUUUCAGAGUUCAUAACUUGAAUACUAAUUGGAGUAUAUCAACAGUUGCAGAUUUAAUUGAUGGCAAUACAGGAGAAUAAAAAACCGAACUGAUCUAUAAUACCUUUUUGGAGAAGGAUGCAGAGAGGAUCUUAUGUAUUCCUUUGUUUAUGAAUCUACAUGAGGACCAUUUAAUCUGGCGCGGUAAGCCGACGGGGGAGUAUACGAUUUGUAGCGGGCACAAAUUUCUUUUACGUGAUAGACAGAAUCAAAUACAAUCUAACUACAGACAAUUUUACAAAAGAUUGUGGAGCUUAGAUUUACCCUCAAAAAUUAAAGUUACAAACUGGAGGUUAUCUUGUAACAGUUUGCCUACUUUCUGUAAUAUGCAUUUUAGAAGACUGCUGGGAUCCGCAACUUGUCGAAGGUGUCAGAAUGGAGCGGAAACGAGAGAGCAUUUGUUCAGGGAGGCAAAGGAGACAUGGGAGAAGUUAGUUGUUACCUGGCCUAUUACAGAGGAAAAUACAUAUUUCAAAGGAUGGUUUAAAAAUAUUUUUUAGUCAAACUCUCUGGUUAAGUGCAGGAUGAUAACAUGUGCUUUGUGGGCAAUUUGGACAUCAAGAAACAGAUUCAUUCAUAAAGGAGAAAUAAAAUCGAGUUCUCAAAUUAUAGAUUUGGCGAGUAACUACCUAAAAGAAUUGGAUGGGUUGAAUACAAACUUACCUGCGAGAUAGUUUCAUAUGGGUAGAUGGGUCGCUCCGAAUGGUUUGAGGUUAAAAAUCAAUUUUCAUGCGGCGUUCAACAAGCAAAAAAAUGAGUCAUGCUCUGGGUUAGUGGUACGAAACGAAAAAGCAGAAGUGAUUUGUACAAAAACAGUUAUGCAUGUGAAUAACCAUCUGUUUUUGUAGCAGAAGCGAUGGCGUGUUUUUAGGAGCUCAAUCUUGAGUUAUAUCGCGGGCUGAGGGAGGUUGAGAUUGAAGGUGACUCCCGUUCAGUGAUCCAGAAACUGCAAGAGGAGAAAGAAGAUAGAUUAGAAAUUGAAGUUUUUAUAAAAGAUUCAAAGCAACUGAAUUUAGGUUUUCAGUUAUGCGUUUUUAGGUUUAUUCAUAAAGAAUCUUACAAGGUUGCUCAUCUCAUAGCUAAAGAGAGACUCCAAAAGAGAGAGAUUCUAAAAGAGAGAGACAACUUAUUUGUUGAAUAUCGUUACUUCUGGUGUGGAGGAAGCGGUGGUCGCUGAUCGAAGUUGGACGGUUUCCAUGAGGGAAUGAACCGUCUGGAUUGCUGAAGGAAAGUUUUGGAAAGGGGUUUGAAGAGUUAGGGGGUGUGGUGUUUUUCAAAGAUAUUUUCUGUGGGAAGUGAUAGCUGCUGUUGAAAAUUAAUGAAGAGUAAUGAUGAAGUCUAUGCGGCUUCCUAGGUGCUUUGUUGCUUUUGAGGAAAGGGGUUUUAAUAGAUAACAGCUAGUUGACGAUGGCUCUAGAGCGUCCACUUCUGCAAGUUGGAUCAUUGUGUUUGGGUUGUUUUAAUUUUGUUUUUGUUUUCUUUCUUUUUGGUUUUUGGGCCUGUUUCUAGGUUGAUUAACUGCUAAUGUUUGC
Molecule: long non-coding RNA, 3698 nt
Filed under: Gossypium barbadense (sea-island cotton)
Lineage: Eukaryota; Viridiplantae; Streptophyta; Magnoliopsida; Malvales; Malvaceae
Description: long non-coding RNA (GBAR_LNC001213)
Source: RNAcentral